RNAcentral lists this ribosomal RNA (497 nucleotides) under uncultured bacterium. RNAcentral describes it as "partial 16S ribosomal RNA". It matches the Rfam family "Bacterial small subunit ribosomal RNA", at positions 28 to 507 of the family's 1533-position model. The record is from RNAcentral.
GAUGAACGCUGGCGGCGUGCCUAAUACAUGCAAGUCGAGCGAACAGACGAGGAGCUUGCUCCUCGGACGUUAGCGGCGGACGGGUGAGUCACACGUGGAUAACCUACCUAUAAGGCUGGGAUAACUACGGGAAACCGGAUACAACACCGGACAAUAUAGUGAACCGGAUGGUUCAAUAGUGAAAGACGUAUUUGCUGUCACUUAGAGAUGGAUCCGCGCCGCAUUAGCUAGUUGGUAAGGUAACGGCUUACCAAGGCGACGAUGUGUAGCCGACCUGAGAGGGUGAUCAGCCACACUGGAACUGAGACACGGUCCAGACUCCUACGGGAGGCAGCAGUAGGGAAUCUUGCGCAAUGGGCGAGAGCCUGACGGAGCAACGCCGCGUGAGUGAUGAAGGCCUUCGGGUCGUAAAGCUCUGUUAUUGGGGACGAACAAAUGUGUGAGUAACCAUCGACGUCAUGACGGUACCUGAACAAAAAGCCACGGCUAACUACGUG